Molecule: transfer RNA, 72 nt
Filed under: Camelus bactrianus (Bactrian camel)
Lineage: Eukaryota; Metazoa; Chordata; Mammalia; Artiodactyla; Camelidae
Also listed under: 2 other names
Rfam family: tRNA
About the family: Transfer RNA (tRNA) molecules are approximately 80 nucleotides in length.
Source: Rfam by way of RNAcentral
GAGGGUGUAGCUCAAUGGUAGAGUGUGUGCUUAGUAUGCAUAAGGUCCUGGGUUCAAUCCCUGAUACCUCCA